GGUUCCGUAGUGUAGUGGUUACAUGCUCGCUUCACAUGUGAGAGGUACAAGGUUCGAGCCAUAGUAGAAUCA
Molecule: transfer RNA, 72 nt
Filed under: Dreissena polymorpha
Lineage: Eukaryota; Metazoa; Mollusca; Bivalvia; Myida; Dreissenidae
Rfam family: tRNA
About the family: Transfer RNA (tRNA) molecules are approximately 80 nucleotides in length.
Source: Rfam by way of RNAcentral